GACGAACGCUGGCGGCGUGCUUAACACAUGCAAGUCGAACGGAAAGGCCCUGCUUUUGUGCCGUUCUCGAUUGGCGAACGGGUGAGUAACACGUGAGUAACCUGCCCUUGACUUUGGGAUAACUUCAGGAAACUGGGGCUAAUACCCGAUAGGAGCUCCUGCUGCAUGUUGGGGGUUGGAAAGUUUCGGCGGUUGUGGAUCGACUCGCGGCUUAUCAGCUUGUUUGUGGGGUAGUUGCUUACCAAGGCUUUGACGGGUAGCCGGCCUGAGAGGGUGACCGGGCACAUUGGGACUGAGGGAGGGACCAGAAGGCUACGGGAGGCAGCAGGGGAGAAUCUUGCAGAAUGGGCGGAAGUGUGAUGCAGCAAUGCCGGGUGCGGGAUGACGGCUUUCGGGUUGUAAACCGCUGUCGACUGUGACGAAGCGGGAGUGACGGUAAUGGGUAAAGAAGCAACGGCUAACUACGUG
RNAcentral lists this ribosomal RNA (468 nucleotides) under uncultured bacterium. RNAcentral describes it as "partial 16S ribosomal RNA". It matches the Rfam family "Bacterial small subunit ribosomal RNA", at positions 28 to 507 of the family's 1533-position model. The record is from RNAcentral.